Molecule: ribosomal RNA, 593 nt
Filed under: uncultured organism
Description: bacterial SSU rRNA
Rfam family: Bacterial small subunit ribosomal RNA
Source: RNAcentral
AGCCCGAAGAAAUUCGGAUUAAUGCUCCAUGAGACCACAAUACCGCAUGAUAUAGUGGUAAAAGCUCCGGCGGUCAAAGAUGGGCAUGCGUGCCAUUAGUUAGUUGGUGAGGUUACGGCUCACCAAGACAACGAUGGCUAGGGGGUCUGAGAGGAUGAUCCCCCACACUGGUACUGAGACACGGACCAGACUCCUACGGGAGGCAGCAGUGAGGAAUAUUGGUCAAUGGACGCAAGUCUGAACCAGCCAUGCCGCGUGCAGGAUGAAUGCCCUAUGGGUUGUAAACUGCUUUUCUACAAGAAGAAACUUCCUGAUGUAUCAGGAACUGACGGUAUUGUAGGAAUAAGCAUCGGCUAACUCCGUGCCAGCAGCCGCGGUAAUACGGAGGAUGCAAGCGUUAUCCGGAUUCAUUGGGUUUAAAGGGUGCGUAGGCGGGGUAGUAAGUCAGUGGUGAAAGCCUGCGGCUUAACCGUAGAAUUGCCAUUGAUACUGCUAUUCUUGAGUGCAGUUGAGGUAGGCGGAAUGUGUACUGUAGCGGUGAAAUGCUUAGAUAUUACACAGAACACCGAUUGCGUAGGCAGCUUACUAAACUG